Molecule: long non-coding RNA, 797 nt
Organism: Triticum dicoccoides
Lineage: Eukaryota; Viridiplantae; Streptophyta; Magnoliopsida; Poales; Poaceae
Exons: 3
Source: RefSeq, a predicted model, not a curated record
ACGCCACACACUCUCCCACCUAAACCUAAACCUAGGUCACCUGCCGCCGCCGCCUGACUUGCCAGCCGAUUUGCUCGCGUUGUUGCCGUCUCUCCCACCACCAGCGGUGCCUCCCAAAUCCUCCUUCUAGCAUGUGGUGCUUCCCCAUGUUCCAACCCCAAGGUGAUGCCUUAACAGAAGGCAUGACAGGAGAAGAGGAAGGGAGAUCCACCGCGAGCGAAGAAGGCCGGGCGGCGACCAUGGCACGCCCAGAUCGGCCAGCGCCGUCGACGUCGAGCUCCUCUGCUCCCAGUGCCAGAUCCGCCUCGGGCUCCAUCUCCACAACCACGCACCUACAGCCGCCAUGGAAGGUGCUCUGCGUGCUUGCUUCUUCCCUUCCUGGGACGCCGCUGCUCCGACGCCAUGGACAAAUAGAGGAGAAGAGGACAGGUCCUGGAAUCCAAAUUUCCUUCAUGAACAAAUGAAGCACAAUCCUUUGCAGUAGCUAAAGUUUCAGACUGGAUAAAUUACAUUGCAGCACCUGAAGUUUCAGACUGAAUAUAUUAUGUUGGCCACCUGUAUUUGGAAAAUUUACCCGAUGUAGCAUGUACAUUUAGUUUCCUAGAAGGCCAUUGCACUUGUCGUUAAUUAGCAACUCACAUUACAAAAGUGCCAGUGGAAAUUUUUGAAAUUAGUAGUGAAGUUUGCAUCUUUGUAACAGAACAUGUUAUACGGUCAAUAUUAACCAUAAAAAUUGGACUCUGUAUGUAGUGUAUGGGAAGUUUUAAGUGAUUAUGCGAAUAUGCUUUUCCUUCAGU